RNAcentral lists this transfer RNA (64 nucleotides) under Chondrodactylus angulifer. RNAcentral's name for it is "tRNA-Trp". Lineage: Eukaryota; Metazoa; Chordata; Lepidosauria; Squamata; Gekkonidae. The record is from RNAcentral.
AAACUUAGGUUAUUACAAACCAGGAGCCUUCAAAGCCCCAAAUAGGGAAAAUCCCUAGUUUUUG